CCUACGGGGGGCAGCAGUGGGGAAUAUUGCACAAUGGGGGGAACCCUGAUGCAGCGACGCCGCGUGAGUGAAGAAGUAUUUCGGUAUGUAAAGCUCUAUCAGCAGGGAAGAAGAUGACGGUACCUGACUAAGAAGCCCCGGCUAACUACGUGCCAGCAGCCGCGGUAAUACGUAGGGGGCAAGCGUUAUCCGGAUUUACUGGGUGUAAAGGGAGCGUAGACGGCAGGGCAAGUCUGGAGUGAAAGCCCGGGGCCCAACCCCGGGACGGCUUUGGAAACUGCCAUGCUGGAGUGCUGGAGAGGUAAGCGGAAUUCCUAGUGUAGCGGUGAAAUGCAUAGAUAUCACGCAGAACUCCGAUUGCGAAGGCAGCAUACCGGCGCUCAACUGACGCUCAUGCACGAAAGUGUGGGUAUCGAACAGGAUUAGAUACCCGAGUAGUC
Molecule: ribosomal RNA, 440 nt
Filed under: uncultured bacterium
Lineage: Bacteria
Description: partial 16S ribosomal RNA
Rfam family: Bacterial small subunit ribosomal RNA
Source: RNAcentral